CUGUGCCUGGCCUGGGAGGCCGGGGCCAUGCCAUGCUCUUCACAACUCUGCCCCGUGACCCUCAUGCCGCUAAUAAUCUCCCGGUUCUCUGUGGCACAAGAAGCGCCGCUGUCUGGAGCGAGAACGUGGCCUUGAGUAACCUCAGGGCCCGGCUACAUCUGCUGACGAAACUCCUGUUGUUGCUAUCGCUGUGCAGCUCCAUGAGGGGGAGCCCCGCUGUUGUCAGGCCCCUCUCUGAGCCGGGUUAAGGGUGGUUCAAACUCUCUAGCCAGUCUGGUGGUGGUAAUGAUUGGGAACGCAGCCCGAGAGGCUGAAAUCUAGAAGUUUGGUCCUUAGGACCCUGCUAGAUGGUCUGGCUUGCUACAGCGAAGCAGCAGCCUCUGCUGGGAAUGCCGGACAUUCCCUUCAGGUAGUGGGCCUGGCUUUAGGGUGAGGAUCUCUGGCCCCCGCUAUGCUGCAGUUCAGACUAGCAUGAUCGCCAUGAUCUGUUCUGGCUCUGACAUCUAUGAAGGGGUGGCGUGGCCUUCCUUUGGAAUUCCCCUCCGCCCCCAGCUCAGGUCGAGGCACGUGGUACUACGUGAAUGCUGCGACCGUUCUCUCCAAAGGUGGGGAGGCGGCUUGGCGGGAGAAGUAGCUAAGAGCAAGUGGGUGAAACAGGUGGGGUUGUCUGGACUGGACUGGAGGAGGAAGUGAAUGUGCCAUGAGAAUCUGAGCGAGACUGGCUGUGGGUAAACUCGGGCUGGGCUGUUUGAACUCUCACUAGGUAAAGCACUUGAGUCUGUGGCAGGGACAGCCCUGCAGACGGCCAAGGGCGGAGCGUCGGGGGAAGGAGUCUCCUUGCUCUCCCACUCGGGGGCAUGGGGCGGCCCGUGGGCGCUCACAGAGGGAGCAGCACUGGGGUGUCUGUCUGUCUUGCCAUGCCCCCUAAGAAAAAGGAGGCUGGGGUCCCAGAGCAAGCCACUCCUCCAACAUGCAUCUCUGCAGGUCGGUCUGCCAGAGCGGAGACCCCGUUUGGCCCUGCCAGCUGCUGUGGGCAAAGAGCUUCAUGGCGGGAGGAAUGGCAGCUGAGAGAGGAUCUCGUUCGAUGUCCACAGUAGGACUUGGACUUCCAUGGACUUGUUCUAACGUACCGGGGGGUGGGGGAAGGAAAGUCGUGAAGGGAAGGAGUGUGGCAGAGGU
Molecule: long non-coding RNA, 1179 nt
Organism: Chelonia mydas (Green sea turtle)
Lineage: Eukaryota; Metazoa; Chordata; Testudines; Cheloniidae
Exons: 3
Source: RefSeq, a predicted model, not a curated record